RNAcentral lists this ribosomal RNA (424 nucleotides) under Verrucomicrobiota bacterium. RNAcentral describes it as "Verrucomicrobia bacterium partial 16S ribosomal RNA". It matches the Rfam family "Bacterial small subunit ribosomal RNA", at positions 355 to 776 of the family's 1533-position model. Lineage: Bacteria; Pseudomonadati; Verrucomicrobiota. The record is from RNAcentral.
UGAGGAAUAUUGGUCAAUGGACGCAAGUCUGAACCAGCCAAGUAGCGUGCAGGAUGACGGCCCUAUGGGUUGUAAACUGCUUUUAUAUGGGGAUAAAGUGGGGAACGUGUUCCCUUUUGCAGGUACCAUAUGAAUAAGGACCGGCUAAUUCCGUGCCAGCAGCCGCGGUAAUACGGAAGGUUCGGGCGUUAUCCGGAUUUAUUGGGUUUAAAGGGAGCGUAGGCCGUUUGGUAAGCGUGUUGUGAAAUGUAGGAGCUCAACUUCUAGAUUGCAGCGCGAACUGUCAGACUUAAGUGCGCACAACGUAGGCGGAAUUCAUGGUGUAGCGGUGAAAUGCUUAGAUAUCAUGAAGAACUCCGAUUGCGAAGGCAGCUUACGGGAGCGCAACUGACGCUGAAGCUCGAAGGUGCGGGUAUCGAACAGG